Molecule: ribosomal RNA, 1835 nt
Filed under: metagenome
Description: bacterial LSU rRNA
Rfam family: Bacterial large subunit ribosomal RNA
Source: RNAcentral
GCUAGUGGAAAAGGAAGUGGAGACGUGCAAACAACUAGGAGGUUGGCUCAGAAGCAGCCAUCCUUCAAAGAGUGCGUAACAGCUCACUAGUCGAAUGACUCUGCGCCGAUAAUUUACCGGGGCUAAGCAUGACACCGAAGCUAUGGACAGGAAUGUGGUAGGGGAGCAUUGCAUGCAGCGGAGAAGCAUGACCGAGAGGGCAUGUGGAGCGCAUGGAAGAGAGAAUGCCGGCGUGAGUAGCGGCACGUGGGUGAGAAUCCCACGCUCCGAUGGCCCAAGGUCUCCAGAGGAAGGCUCGUCCUCUCUGGGAUAGUCGGGACCUAAGGCGAGGCCGAAAGGCGUAGCCGAUGGACGACGGGUGGAUAUUCCCGUACCCGAUGUGUGGCGAUGGAGUGACGGAGAAGGCUCAGGCAACCAGCCGCUGGAAUAGCUGGGGCAAGCGAGAUACCUGCGCACCAGGGAAAUCCGGUGCGCGCAAGGGGAAGGCGCGAAGCAUACGGAAAGCUGCGGCAAGUACGGAAAAGCUGAGAGCAGGCUUCCAGGAAAAGCUUCUAGCACAACACGCAUCGGCCCGUACCGAAAAUGGACACACAUGGGCAAGGAGAGAAUCCUGAGGUGAGCGAGAGAACUAUAGCUAAGGAACUCUGCAAAAUGACCCCGUAACUUAGGGAGAAGGGGUGCUCCAGAAAUGGAGCCGCAGUAAAACGGCCCAAGCGACUGUUUACCAAAAACACAGCUCUCUGCGAAGGCGCAAGCCGAAGUAUAGGGGGUGACGCCUGCCCGGUGCUGGAAGGUCAAGGGGAGCUGUCAGCGCAAGCGAAGCAGCGAGCCGAAGCCCCAGUAAACGGCGGCCGUAACUAUAACGGUCCUAAGGUAGCGAAAUUCCUUGUCGGGCAAGUUCCGACCCGCACGAAAGGCGUAACGAUUUGGGCGCUGUCUCAGCUGUAGACUCGGUGAAGUCUUAGUACCUGUGAAGAUGCAGGUUGCCCGCGACUAGACGGAAAGACCCCAUGGAGCUUCACUGCAGGUUGACAUUGGGCUUGGAUGCAUGAUGUACAGGAUAGGUGGGAGGCUGUGAGCCGUGCGCGCCAGCGUACGGGGAGCCGCUGUUGGGAUACCACCCUUCAUGCAUCUAGGUCCUAACCGGAGGCAACGGGCCACGGGACAGUGUCAGUCGGGCAGUUUGACUGGGGCGGUCGCCUCCCAAAGAGUAACGGAGGCGCCCAAAGAUACCCUCAGCAUGGAUGGAAACCAUGCAUAGAGUGCAAAGGCAUAAGUGUGUCUGACUGCGAGACAUACAGGUCGAGCAGGGACGAAAGUCGGGCUUAGUGAUCCGGCGGAUCCGAAUGGAAGGGCCGUCGCUCAACGGAUAAAAGCUACCCUGGGGAUAACAGGCUGAUCUCCCCCAAGAGUUCACAUCGACGGGGAGGUUUGGCACCUCGAUGUCGGCUCAUCGCAUCCUGGAGCUGAAGUCGGUUCCAAGGGUUGGGCUGUUCGCCCAUUAAAGCGGUACGCGAGCUGGGUUCAGAACGUCGUGAGACAGUUCGGUCCCUAUCUGUCGUGGGCGCAGGAGGUUUGAGGAGAGCUGCCCCUAGUACGAGAGGACCGGGGUGGACGGACCGAUGGUGCACCAGUUGUCACGCCAGUGGCACAGCUGGGCAGCCAAGUCCGGACGGGAUAAGCGCUGAAGGCAUCUAAGCGUGAAGCCCCCUCCAAGAUGAGACCUCCCAUUGGCGACAAGUAAGGCCCCUCGAAGACGACGAGGUUGAUAGGCCGCGAGUGCAAGCGCAGCGAUGUGCUUAGCGGGGCGGUACUAAUAGGCCGAGGACUUGGCC